Molecule: non-coding RNA, 609 nt
Organism: Caretta caretta (loggerhead turtle)
Lineage: Eukaryota; Metazoa; Chordata; Testudines; Cheloniidae
Source: RefSeq, a predicted model, not a curated record
GAAAAUGAUGGUGAUCUUGAAGGUGGAUAGUCUUCAGAAUCCUGUAUGUUGAGGAUGGAUUCUCCUAAACAAACACUCCAACCAAUGGGAUGAGGCCUUCGCAAUCAACAAAGCUUUUGUCCUACAAUGGCCCACUUCAUUCUGAUAGUUCUCCUGGAUGGGCAGGGGGAGCCAUUCUUCCCAUCUGAGUUCACAAGUUCAAAGCAGGCAUUUUUAAAAUUAUAAAACAAACUUAUAUUUUACCUUGUAGCAUGGAACACAAACAUUACAAGUAAGAUUAAUGCAUGCAGCAAUUUACACGCCUUUUAUGGAGUCUAAACACAUCCUUACAAGUCUAAUAUCUCUCUUGAACAACAUUAACAGAAGGAAUCCAGCUGCUGUUUGUCUUGCAUCCGGAGGCGGGGAGAGAUGGGUUUGAGUUUUAAGCACAGGACUAGGAAUGAUGAAAUCUGGUUGUAUUUCUGGAUCUGCACAGGCUUCCUGCAUAACUCUGGGCAAGUCACUUCAUCUUGAUGCAAUUCCCAUUAAAGUCCGUGAAAAGACUCCCAUUGACUUCAAAGUGUAAAUCUAGUCUUAAAAGUGAUUGUAUACAAUAAAUGACAUCAUGAG